UUGCCUUUCCGAUGGCAGUUGUUUGCCUUGGUGCUGUGGUUUGGUUCACAUCUGCUCCCCACCAUCAGCCUUUAGGUUCCCUGUGCUGUCUGUGCAUGGUACAGUGCCCGGCACGCAGUAAGAGCCAAGCGGGACUUGGUGAAUGGGAAGAGUGCCCUGAACAGGGCAGGAGGUCACGGUCCUCCCUGGGGUGGGGGAGGGGCUGACCCUCAGCCUCGCCUUCCGUAACUGUCUGCCUUAGUGUCGCAGCACAGUGAUGCGAGAGCCAGGAGCACUUUGAUCCGAGUGAGGACUCCUUUGCCGCCCAUUCCUCUGUCAUGGCCUUGACCGCUGCCUGUGAGGCAAGACUUAGGGCUUAUCAGAGAGAUAUGGACAUCACUUCUGCUUUACAGAAGAGAAAACAGAUACAGAGAAGAAAACUUGCCCAAGUUCACUCACCUGAUAAGUGGUGCAGGGUUCUUUGUUUCACCUGUCUCUGCUACAUCAACCUACUCUGCUGCUGCUGAGGACAUGGAGGUCAGAGUUGAGGCCGAACAAGGAAGUUGGCAGAUGAAAGGUACCUGGGGUCAACAUGGUACAGCAAGAGAUGCAGGACAAUUGCACCUGGCCCCCGACUGUAACUUGCUGAUCACCUUGAUGAGAAGGAUAAGAAGCUAUGGAUUUCAUCUGGCAGAGGAGCUGUAGCACCAAAGCGAGUGUCAGCAAAGGUGGCUGAUUAAUAAAUAUUGGACACUCAGUGUGUAUUAAAUGUGCUAUGAUUAUUUCAAAGCUCAGGUGCCUCAUGGAUAUUCAGUGAGUUACAAAUGUUUGAUACCUCUUGAUCUCUCCAUCUCUUCCUAUGUCCAGCACUCAAACACUAUACCUUAUGGAGGCUAACAUGUCUCUAUAAGUUACUACUUUGUUUAUAUAUAAGAGGGUAUUUUAAAAAUUUUAUGGAAAAAUGGGAUGAAAAAUAUAAGUUUAUUUUGGUUAAAAUUUUUUGAAAUUUAUGCAUAAUUUUUUGGUGGAACAUGCCGUUUCCAUGAAGUUUGUGAAGCUCACUCAUACUUAGUGAAGUCUGCCUGUGUCUCAUAAAUUAUAUGUUCUCUACUGAGCUUCAUUUAUUCUUCCUGCUUGUGGUUCUUAUUUUCUCUAGCAGGGCUGGAUAUAUUAAACAGUACAACACAGAUUCUCGAAGGGGAAUGGUGGUAGAGAGUCUGUGGAUGCACUGGUGGGUGGUGGAACCUUCUGGAAUAAGGGAUACUUAGAGGCUAGUAGAAUGCAAGGAAAGUGUGAGAUUCGGGAGUGAGAUGGGGCUUUAACCCAGCUCCAUUGGUGACUGCAGACAGGUUCCUAACCACUCCUACCAUCAGUUUCUCCAUGUGAAAAGGACAUAACCAUACCCCUCCUCCACUGUUGGACAGGAUAAUGAAAUGCCAUCUCAGGCAUCAGCACAAGCCCUGGCUUGCAGCAAAAUCUCCGAAAUUGACAUUUUAAAAUGAAUAAAGGAUCCACUCCCUUCCUGUUGUUUGUAAACCCCAUUUCUAACUGUCCCAAAGAGCAUGGCUUCACUUACCCACGGACACUUUCCAACCAAGUAUCUGCUGGAAGAGUGAAUCCAGAACAGACAUACUAGAGGCUCUGUGCCUUGCUACUGUGUCUUCAUGGUACAGCCAAGGAGGGAAGCACACGUACACUGGAGGCUUGAUUUACCCAGGUGGGAGCAUAGGCUCUGGCAAGCUUUCCCACAGGUGAGCCUUGAGCUAAAAUUUGCAGUGAUUGGCAUCAGCUAAUUCGAUCAUAUAAACUGGGAGAGGAAGGGGGGAGUCCUGCCCCAGGUAGAGGGACGGACGUAGCAGUGGUGAGGAGGGCUGAAGGUGAGAGCCUUGCACUCAGCGAGUCAGGUAAGUCAGCCUGGCUCCAGGAUGGGGGCCAUUGUUGGGUGACUUCUGGGCACAUGUGGGCCAGCCCUGAA
This is a non-coding RNA of Oryctolagus cuniculus (rabbit), 1954 nucleotides long. Lineage: Eukaryota; Metazoa; Chordata; Mammalia; Lagomorpha; Leporidae. The record is from RefSeq and is a predicted model, not a curated record.